CCUACGGGAGGCAGCAGUGGGGAAUAUUGGGCAAUGGGCGCAAGCCUGACCCAGCAACGCCGCGUGAAUGAAGAAGGCUUUCGGGUUGUAAAGCUCUUUUAAGAGGGAAGAGCAGGAGACGGUAUCUCUAGAAUACGCCACGGCUAACUACGUGCCAGAAGGCGCGGCAAUAUGUAGGUCGCAAGCGUUGUCCGGAUUUACGGGGUGAAAAGGGCGUGUAGCCGGGCUGACAAGUCAGAUGUGAAAUUCCGGGGCUCAACCCCGGACCUGCAUUUGAAACUGUUGGUCUUGAGUGUCGGAGAGGCAGGUGGAAUUCCUAGUGUAGCGGUGAAAUGCGUAGAUAUUAGGAGGAACACCAGUGGCGAAGGCGGCCUGCUGGACGGCAACUGACGGUGAGGCGCGAAAGCGUGGGGAGCAAACAGGAUUAGAUACCCGGGUAGUC
This 442-nucleotide ribosomal RNA is filed under the name uncultured bacterium. RNAcentral's name for it is "partial 16S ribosomal RNA". It matches the Rfam family "Bacterial small subunit ribosomal RNA", at positions 338 to 795 of the family's 1533-position model. The record is from RNAcentral.